AACGCUGGCGGCGCGCCUAACACAUGCAAGUCGAGCGAGAAAGAGGGGCAACCCUUGAGUAAAGCGGCGUACGGGUGAGUAACACGUAGGUAUCCACCUCUUAGUGGGGAAUAACUCGGGGAAACCUGAGCUAAUACCGCAUAAGUCCGAGAGGAGAAAGCAGCAAUGCGCUGAGAGAGGAGCCUGCGGCCGAUUAGCUAGAUGGCGGGGUAAUGGCCCACCAUGGCGACGAUCGGUAGCCGGCCUGAGAGGGCACACGGCCACACUGGCACUGAAACACGGGCCAGACUCCUACGGGAGGCAGCAGUGGGGAAUCUUGCACAAUGGAGGAAACUCUGAUGCAGCGACGCCGCGUGGACGACGAAGCCCUUCGGGGUGUAAAGUCCUUUCGACCGGAACGAUAAUGACGGUACCGGGGAAGA
Molecule: ribosomal RNA, 422 nt
Filed under: Acidobacteria bacterium UCL-103
Lineage: Bacteria; Pseudomonadati; Acidobacteriota
Description: bacterial SSU rRNA
Rfam family: Bacterial small subunit ribosomal RNA
Source: RNAcentral